GCACCUAUGGAGCAGUAGUUUGAGCUCAUUCUCCUCCCAAGAUCUUGCUUGGCUGGGACAUAAGUGAGGGAAAGACCCGGGUGCGAAUCCCGGUGGGUGCA
RNAcentral lists this transfer RNA (101 nucleotides) under Annulohypoxylon stygium. Its description in RNAcentral is "tRNA-Gly". Lineage: Eukaryota; Fungi; Ascomycota; Sordariomycetes; Xylariales; Hypoxylaceae. The record is from RNAcentral.